Molecule: non-coding RNA, 72 nt
Organism: Zopfochytrium polystomum
Lineage: Eukaryota; Fungi; Chytridiomycota; Chytridiomycetes; Chytridiales; Chytridiaceae
Source: the annotation of a GenBank genome assembly
GGAGAUUUAGUCUAGUGGUAUGAUUUCUGAUUUGGGUGCAGGAGGUCCCGGGUUCAAUCCCCGGAAUCCCCC